AUGCCCCCGCUGCUCAUCUCAGCACUGGGGAUGAUAUUUGCCUUGAGAGUCGCCAGAGCCCAGCAGGUGACCCAGCCUGAGGUCCAUGUCUAUGUCCCUGAAGGAGCCCCGCUGGAGCUGAGGUGUAACUAUUCCUACGGUGGAAUUCUCUAUCUCUUCUGGUAUGUCCAGUACCCCAGCCAAGGCCUCCAGCUGCUCCUCAGGUACUUUUCAGGGGCCAUCUUGGUUCAAGGCAUCAAAGGCUUUGAGGCUGAAUUUAAGAAGAGUGAAUCUUCCUUCAACCUGAGGAAGUCCUCAGCCCGUUGGAGUGACUCAGCCCAGUACUUCUGUGCUUUGGGUGACACAGUGCCUGGGGCUGCAGGGGGAACGGCACACAAACUCUGA
Molecule: non-coding RNA, 384 nt
Organism: Manis pentadactyla (Chinese pangolin)
Lineage: Eukaryota; Metazoa; Chordata; Mammalia; Pholidota; Manidae
Source: the annotation of a RefSeq genome assembly